GCUGGGUGUGGUGGCACACGCCUGUAAUCCCAGUGACGCAGGAGGCUGAGGCAGGAGGAUCACAAGUUUGAGGCCAGCCUUAGCAACUUAGCAAGAUCCUGUCUCAA
RNAcentral lists this small RNA (107 nucleotides) under Marmota monax (woodchuck). Lineage: Eukaryota; Metazoa; Chordata; Mammalia; Rodentia; Sciuridae. The record is from RNAcentral.